GAUGAACGCUAGCUACAGGCUUAACACAUGCAAGUCGAGGGGAAACGACAUCGAAAGCUUGCUUUUGAUGGGCGUCGACCGGCGCACGGGUGAGUAACGCGUAUCCAACCUGCCCACCACUUGGGGAUAACCUUGCGAAAGUAAGACUAAUACCCAAUGAUAUCUCUAGAAGACAUCUGAAAGAGAUUAAAGAUUUAUCGGUGAUGGAUGGGGAUGCGUCUGAUUAGCUUGUUGGCGGGGUAACGGCCCACCAAGGCUACGAUCAGUAGGGGUUCUGAGAGGAAGGUCCCACACAUUGGAACUGUGACACGGUCCAAACUCCUACGGGAGUCAUCAGUGAUGAAUAUUGGUCAAUGGACGGGAGUCUGAACCAGCCAAGUAGCGUGCAGGAUGACGGCUCUAUGGGUUGUAAACUGCUUUUAUAAGGGAAUAAAGUGAGUCUCGUGAGACUUUUUGCAUGUACCCUAUGAAUAAGGACCGGCUAAUUCCGUGCCAGCCGCCGCGGUAA
Molecule: ribosomal RNA, 508 nt
Filed under: uncultured bacterium
Lineage: Bacteria
Description: partial 16S ribosomal RNA
Rfam family: Bacterial small subunit ribosomal RNA
Source: RNAcentral